This is a long non-coding RNA of Canis lupus familiaris (dog), 757 nucleotides long. RefSeq lists it as uncharacterized. NCBI's taxonomy places the organism in Eukaryota, Metazoa, Chordata, Mammalia, Carnivora, Canidae. The record is from RefSeq and is a predicted model, not a curated record. The transcript has 3 exons.
AUGCUGCCAAAGACCAGAGGCAGGAUUUAAAUGCCGAUUUUCUGCCUCCAGAGCAGGAACAGCUAUUCCCACUCUGCCUCUCAACUGAGGAAUUUAGCGAGUGGGCAAGGACUUGUCAUCUCUUUGGAGUUAGGCCUGCAGAGUGAUAUGUAGCUAGUGGGCCGGUCGCCAGGCCCAGCUAGGAUCUGGGUUCUGGCACCGGGUCUGGCACACACCAGGGCAGGCUCUCCUCUCUGCCUGGAACCUUAUGUCCACCUCUAGCUCUCUCCCUCCCAUGACCACGGGAGGAUGGGUGUGGGGGGACUUCUAAAGGGCGAGUCUGCCAAAGGGUGCCAGCGUGGAAGAGAACAGAUCUGACAGGCCCAGACUGGCCUCAUGUGCAUCAUUCAAGCUCCUGAAGCCAGCUCUGCCUGAAGCCAGCCAACAGGACAAUUUUUCACUCCGCUGAGUUCAUCAAUUCCGAUGUUGCUGAAGACAGUUACAGGAAGGAUUUCGGUCACCUGAAAUAGAAAGGAAGCGAGCAGAUCCAGAAUGUCAGCUCCAAGAGGGCAGAGAAUUGUGUCUGUUUUCUUUUCUGCUGUAUCCCCAGGGCUGAGAAUGCUGCCGGGCAUACAGAGCAAGAGUUGCAUGAUCUACCAAAGGAGCCAACCAGGAGCCCCUACAUUAUAUGUCUUUUACCGCAAUUUGGAAACAUUUUAGGAGUUUUGGAAGAGCAAAGGGACUAAGGCCAGACAACGUUAGAGCCACCUCGAGGUCC